UUAACUAUUAUAUAGUACUCAGACAUCACUAAAAACAAGAGUUGUGGUCCUCUGGCGGGCACUCAACAGCCGAAGCCGCUGGCACAAGGCGGCCCGCCAAAGCAACAAAGGUAGUUUAUUCAAGGGUGGAGAUCAGGACCGCACUUCUGCGAGAGGUGCGACGACUCUAAACCCUACCGAAGUAGGGUAGCCCACCACGAAGCAAGCUUCUGUGGGGCGCUGUCUAUCCUUUACUCUAGUAAUGAUCCUUCCGCAGGUUCACCUACGGAAA
Molecule: unclassified non-coding RNA, 271 nt
Filed under: uncultured fungus
Lineage: Eukaryota; Fungi
Description: sequence contains ITS1
Source: RNAcentral